RNAcentral lists this unclassified non-coding RNA (240 nucleotides) under soil metagenome. RNAcentral's name for it is "partial contains 5.8S ribosomal RNA, internal transcribed spacer 2, and large subunit ribosomal RNA". The record is from RNAcentral.
AACGAGGCCGACCUGCGGCUGAGUUACCUGCGGAAGGAUCAUUAAAAAGAGUGUGUACCCCUCUGUAAAAUGAGUGGGUUACCUCCCGUCCUUUGUUGACCUCUUAGGAGGUUAUUUUGAACUUUCUGCUUCGGUGGGGUUAAACCUACCGGAACACCCUCAAAUUCUUAUCAUUUAAAAAUUGUUCAGUCUGAUUUUUGUUAAUAAAAACAAAAAACUUUUAACAAUGGAUCUCAGAUC